UGGGGAAUAUUGCGCAAUGGGCGAAAGCCUGACGCAGCCAUGCCGCGUGUGUGAAGAAGGCCUUCGGGUUGUAAAGCACUUUCAAUUGGGAGGAAAGGUUCACGGUUAAUAACCGUGAGCUGUGACGUUACCUUUAGAAGAAGCACCGGCUAACUCCGUGCCAGCAGCCGCGGUAAUACGGAGGGUGCAAGCGUUAAUCGGAAUUACUGGGCGUAAAGCGCGCGUAGGUGGUCUGUUAAGUCGGAUGUGAAAGCCCCGGGCUCAACCUGGGAACUGCAUCCGAUACUGGCAGACUAGAGUGCGGGAGAGGGAGGUAGAAUUCCACGUGUAGCGGUGAAAUGCGUAGAUAU
This 350-nucleotide ribosomal RNA is filed under the name uncultured bacterium. Its description in RNAcentral is "bacterial SSU rRNA". It matches the Rfam family "Bacterial small subunit ribosomal RNA", at positions 355 to 697 of the family's 1533-position model. The record is from RNAcentral.